AGUCUGUUUUGUACGAGGUGUUGAUGAAGACGCUGCAGACGGAGCUGAGUGUGUGACAGAGCUGCUGUGACGGUGGUCGUGGUCAGCGCAGGGUAUCAGUCCUCAUAUGAGAAGGGUCUGGAGAUCACCGGUGUCAGAGAUGGGCAUUCAGGUGUUUCACGCUGGCACUGUGCUGAAGGAAGGGGCGGGGUUAUGACGAGCGGUGGGCGUGUCCUGAGAGUGACUGCGGUCCGGCCCACCCUCGAGAGUGCCUUACGUAGCGCUAAUGAAGGAGUGAGCUGCAGCAGGGGACUGUCGUAUAAGGACAGCGGUGUGGACAUCGCAGCGGGGAACAGACUCGUGGAUCUGAUCAAACCUCUGGCCACGGCUCGUCCAGGUCUGUCCAUCUCUCAUCACGCUGAUGCUCCACUUUUCUUUUAUUCACUUUUAUAACCGUUGUCUUUUUUUCUCAUGUGCUGAUGACUGAUAGCCGAUUAAUCUUCCUGUUGACUGCAAGAAAACGGUAAACUUUGUGAGGUUCUUUGAUGCAGUUUUUUCUCACAGGAGUUCAAAGCUUGAUCUGGUUUUUCAGUGUCAAUCAUCUUUCUGUCGAUUAGCUUUCACUCAAACUGCAGACUCACAGAACAAAGCUCUUUUAAACCUGUUUAUGGCAGGAGAGGGGAGUUUAGUGGGUCUUUAACACUUCUGUCGUCUCACACAUUUCACAUGUUAUUUCACGCUUAUCAAGUCUCUGAUUUGAGUGACACAUGAAUAUUGUUUGUUUUUUUACUAAACGAGUCCUAAAAAUGAAAUGGAUUAUUUCUAAAAGCAGAACACACCAUGAGACAGAAAAAGAAACCAUGCAAAAUAAAUAGCAGAAUAAAAUAAAAAGAUCGUAUUGAUGCAAAAAUGGAGUGAUUUGUGCUUCUGGAAGUGUUUUUUUCUUUCUUUCCUUUUUUCUUCUUUUUUCUUCUAUCUAUUUGAGUGAUAGAUACAGUAUAACUGUUUUGUGUGUUUAUUUAUGUGCUGUAUUUUUAUCAUGUUGAUAAUAUUUA
Molecule: long non-coding RNA, 1034 nt
Organism: Carassius gibelio (silver crucian carp)
Lineage: Eukaryota; Metazoa; Chordata; Actinopteri; Cypriniformes; Cyprinidae
Exons: 3
Source: RefSeq, a predicted model, not a curated record